GCCGAUGUAGCUCAGUUGGCUAGAGCAGCUGAUUUGUAAUCAGCAGGUCGUGGGUUCGAGCCCCUCCAUCGGCUCAA
RNAcentral lists this transfer RNA (77 nucleotides) under Confluentibacter flavum. RNAcentral's name for it is "Confluentibacter sp. 3B tRNA-Thr". It matches the Rfam family "tRNA". Rfam says of the family: Transfer RNA (tRNA) molecules are approximately 80 nucleotides in length. Lineage: Bacteria; Pseudomonadati; Bacteroidota; Flavobacteriia; Flavobacteriales; Flavobacteriaceae. The record is from RNAcentral.